AUGUUGACCGGAAACAACGAUAUGAAGCCGCCGAUUCCUAAACGACCCCGGCGGAUGGCUAUGUCGCCGGAAUCAGCACCUUUAGCCUCCGGCAGUAGCAGCUUCAUCCCAGAUGAUAUAAUCUUCUUUCAGAUACUCGUACUUCUUCCUGUGAAGUCCCUUGUGCGCUUCCAAACCGUCUGCAAGUCAUGGCGCACCACAUUAACCAGCAUCAGUUUCGUGCGCUGGCACCUGGAGCUUUCCAAGCGAACAAGGUCGACCAUGGUCCUCGUGCCACGCAAGUAUCAGGAGGACCGACGGAAGGCGUGUUCUAGAUUACUCAGUAUCUUCAGCUUCCAGCCAGGGGAAAGCAAGUGUGCGGAGCUUAUCUUCCGAAAGGAAUUUCAUCCCUAUGGGAUCCCUGUGUUCAGCAUUCCUCUCCAUUGUGAUGGCCUGAUAUUGAUCCCUUGCAUAAUGGGGAAAAUUUUCAUCUGCAACCCGGCCACUAGAGAGUUUGUUGAGUUGCCACCUGGAAGCCCAAGUGUUCUCUUUGAGCACAGGGUCGCCUUUGGCUUUGAUCCUUGGAGUGGUACCUACAAGGUGGCGAGGCACUUCAUCCGCUCGUACAGAGAUACUCUGCAAAUAGAUGGGGAAGGAGGCACCACUAGAGAAUACAGCAGUGGACAUGAGAUCUUAACAUUCGGUGGUGACAACAAAGAAGAAGCUUGGGUAUGGAAGGCCACUGUGGAUCCACCAUACCCUAUCAAGGCCAGGACUCCAAUUUGUCUCCCAGGGGUCUUCUUUUGGAGUGCUCUCAAGUCCAUGGCACAUGGCAAGGUUAUCUCGAAUGUCAUCCUUCGAUUUAGUUUACUUGAUGAAACAUUUACGGUGCACCCUAACCCUCCAUGUAGUGAUCAUCUAGGCAAGAAUGAUGCACUAUCUGCACUAGGUGGAAAGUUAUGCUAUAUCCACUCUCCCACUCCGUGGGAGAUUGCCAUUUGGUUAGCGGAAGAUGGGCCAAAUCUGACUUGGUCACUAUGCCGCCGUGUCAGUCUGCCGAUACCAAGAAAUCUUCUUGCCUUUGCAUGUGCGUCAACUGACCCGGACAAGAUAUUCCUCUCCAUUGAUGCGCGCUACCUUCUCAGGUGUGACCUCCAUGAUGAAUCUCUUGAAGAAAUAAUCAACAUGCGCGACAUGUUGUAUGAUCUCCGGAACGGCAGAAAAUUCACCAUUGGUUCACUCCUUGUUGCCCACUAUAUGGUGCCAUUUGUGGAAUCACUGUUGCGCAUCAGAUCUUCAUAG
RNAcentral lists this ribosomal RNA (1281 nucleotides) under Triticum aestivum (bread wheat). Its description in RNAcentral is "partial small subunit ribosomal RNA". The record is from RNAcentral. Lineage: Eukaryota; Viridiplantae; Streptophyta; Magnoliopsida; Poales; Poaceae.